GUGAGUGUAACAUUCGUCCCCAGUGCGUCGGUGGAGACGUCGCCUACCGUCUGCCAGAACUCUCUGAGCUUAGGGCAGGUCCACCAGAUGUGGUACAUCGUUCCCGGUUCCUGUGAACAUCUCCAGCAGAGUCUGGAUGUGUUCGGGUAGAUGCGCGCCAGCCUGUCUGGUACCAUGUACCAGCGAUACUGGAUUUUCCUCAUCAGUUCUAAGUGUGAUGCGCAGCUUGUCUUUCCUUUAUGGGCUAACAUUGCUGUUUUCCAGCUUUUGACGUCAAAGAUUUGGUGCAGGUCGUCGUGCCAGUCUGUCAUAAAUUUUUCAUAGCUACGUUCCGUCGGGACUGUCAGUUCACGGUAAAUGGAGGCUAGUAACUUUUUUGGCGUGGUAGGGGCUAGGAAGGCUUUCUCGAAGAAAGCUAUGGUCGGCGGCCGCGAGAGUGCGGGGCUGUGUGUGAGGAGUGCUUUUAGUUGGAGGUAUGAGAACACCGCUCUCGUCGGUAGUUGAAAUUUGCGUUGUAGGUCAGGGAAUGGCAAAAUUCCGUUGCUUCCUAACAGUUGGCCUAUGGAGGUGCAUCCACC
This 578-nucleotide long non-coding RNA is filed under the name Pelobates cultripes (western spadefoot toad). The record is from RNAcentral. Lineage: Eukaryota; Metazoa; Chordata; Amphibia; Anura; Pelobatidae.